Molecule: long non-coding RNA, 121 nt
Organism: Lontra canadensis (Northern American river otter)
Lineage: Eukaryota; Metazoa; Chordata; Mammalia; Carnivora; Mustelidae
Exons: 2
Source: RefSeq, a predicted model, not a curated record
GUUGGCCCCGCUGCGCAGACGCGGGCGGGUGUUCUGGCCGUUUUCACUGUUCAGCCAAGAAGCAGCAGCUCAGUCCUUCAGGUGAAAGAUGAUGGAAGCCAAGUGGCACCUGUUCUGGACA